ACCUGGGUGGCUCAGUGGGUUAAAAGCGUCUGACUUCAGCUCAGAUCAAGAUAUCAUGGUUUGUGGGUUCGAGCCCCACAUCAGGCU
RNAcentral lists this transfer RNA (87 nucleotides) under Felis catus (domestic cat). It matches the Rfam family "tRNA". Rfam says of the family: Transfer RNA (tRNA) molecules are approximately 80 nucleotides in length. Their secondary structure includes four short double-helical elements and three loops (D, anti-codon, and T loops). Further hydrogen bonds mediate the characteristic L-shaped molecular structure. tRNAs have two regions of fundamental functional importance: the anti-codon, which is responsible for specific mRNA codon recognition, and the 3' end, to which the tRNAs corresponding amino acid is attached (by aminoacyl-tRNA synthetases). tRNAs cope with the degeneracy of the genetic code in two manners: having more than one tRNA (with a specific anti-codon) for a particular amino acid; and 'wobble' base-pairing, i.e. permitting non-standard base-pairing at the 3rd anti-codon position. The record is from Rfam by way of RNAcentral. Lineage: Eukaryota; Metazoa; Chordata; Mammalia; Carnivora; Felidae.